UUUUGAAAUCAUAUUAUAGAUGCACAUGAUUAUAACUCAAGUUUGUGGAAAAACACCAUAAUAAAUACAUACUUUCAUCAAAAUGAGUUCAUAAUGCAUGUUCUUCAAAUGGUUUUGAAAACCUAUUACAUAUACAUAUAUGUUGUCACGCCCCAAAAUCCCAUCGGGCCGGACUGGCACCCAAAGCCGAGAAGGCCCGGGAGAACCCGUUCAAAUACCUGUACUUUCACUUAUAUGUCACCAAAAAUUUGGACAGCACUUCGUUGCAUAUAGAAGGGUCUAAUUACCUGUAUCAGCACAACACGCACAAAUAUAUAUAUAUAUAUUACGUAGCCGUCGGGGCCACCACAUAUACAAAUGUAACAUCACUAUAUAAACUUCCAUGACUUCACCCUUCCUUAUGUCUACAAAGCCUCUAGGAUAUACAUGACAUAACUAGGGUCGGGACAAACCCCCCCGCCCACACAUGACUCCUGUACAAUAACAAAACAUAAGGAACCGACUCGAAAAGCUCCGAAGCAAACUGGUGCUCACCAACAAUAGUUGUAUGACCUGGCUCCUACUUGUGCGGUGUAUGAGCUGAGGUACCUGUGCCUGCAGCAUGAAAUGCAGGUCCCCGUGGGGGACGUCAGUACGAAAUAUGUACUGAGUAUGUAAAGCUGUAAAUAAUCACAUAUGAUAUAGGAGCUCAAUAGAAAUCAGAAACAAGUGAAUAAGUCGUAAUAGGAGUGGACCACACUUACUAGAACUUGUGACAACCUGUACAUUGUAUUUAUUCAAUCACUUUACCUUCGUUCUUAUCGUCUUUGUAAUCAUUACUGUACUGUACUGUGACCAUUAGGAUGCCUCCAGUACAUAUCAACUGGGAUCGACCCAUGCUAGGCUUAUGCCCCUGGGAUACCACCCAUAAACACAUAAAUAGGGAUCGACCCAUGCUAGGCUUAUGCCCCUGGGAUACCACCCGAUAAGAGAGAACUUCCAUCACUUAGUUCAAUUAAUCUUUGAGAUUGUUAUUUCGGUCGCCACCACAUUUUUGAUACUUUGAAACAAUGAUACAUCAAUAGGAACCAAGUAAUAGACCUUCUAUACAAUAACGAUGUAAUAAAGACUCAUUGGUACAUCAACAAUGUGUUUCAGAAUCAUCAAUAUCACAACAAUGAAAUAAGAGCCUUUUGGUAUAUCAAUGAAACAUUUUGACACUUUAUAGAAUGGAAACAACUUCGUUGGUAACGUAGAACAAUACAUGUUUUUGGACAACCUCGGAAUCUUACUUGAUGGAACAUUGGUGUUUUCAUGCCAAAGAACAUUGUUAGAGUAUGCUUUACAUACCUCGUUGUAGAUUCGGAUACCAAUUCAACACAACUUCCCGCCUUUACAAAUCACUUAUCUACAAUGAAAUGUUUGGCAUCUAGUAUUAGCAACCCAACACCACAAUUCUCUUCCAUAAUUCCAUACUACCAAUAUUUGCAAAACAUUCCAAAAACCAACUUGAACAAUAGGUUUAUGUGUGUAUAUGUAUAUAAUCAUCAUCUCAAUACCACAUCAUCAAUACCACAUCAUCACCCCAAAUUCCUUCACAAUUUAACAUAAUCCAACCAUGCACAAGAAUAAUCCAACAUCAUUUCCAAUCAUCUUUCAACAACAAUCAAAUAACAUACUUCUUAUGCUCACAUGCAUAUAUAUAUAUAUAUACAUAUCCAUAUAAAUAACACCAACAUAAUUUACAUCCUUACCAAAAAAAAUGGCCCUUUUGAUUUCGAAGUCCUGUUGGCACAAAUAAGGGGUGCUUCUCGAAGCCCUUGAGACGGUGAACACAACUACGGAAUCAAUUUGGAUUUUCUACGGUUGAAUCACAAGAUAAUUGGAGUUGAAAUUUGGCUAGGGUUUCUUAGUUUUCAAUAAUGGAUGAUAAAUAAUGGAUAUGAGGCUAAGUAUAUGUAUAUAAUGACCAAUUUUCGUUCAAGAGGUGAUGGAAAAUGACCAUAUUGCCCUUAAAAAUUUAAGUAAAUCCGAAUCUGUCCAUGGUGGACUGUUUUGAUAGGCUAAAGUAAAUCGGCCAUAACUCUUUGCUCCGAUAUCGGAUUUGGGUGAAAUUGGUAUCGUUAGAAAGAUAAUUCAAAGGUAUUUCAUUUAAUAUAAAUUAAUCCACCCAGUUCGUCCUGUACAAGUAGUUAUGAUCGUUUGAAGUUGACCCUAAAAAUCUGUUUUGAGAGGCUGAAGUAAAACGAGUAUAACUCCUUACUCAGAUGUUGGAUUUGGAUGAAACCAAUUUCAUUGGAAAGAAGACUCAAAGAUCUUUCUUUUGAUAUAUGGUAGCUCAACCAGUUCAUUAUAUUGAGGGAGUUAUGAUCGUUCAAAGUUGACCCAAAAAACUGGCAGGCCUCAGUAGUUUCCUGCACAUUUUACUGUUCACAUCCCGGCCACCGUUUUAAAGUUUCGAACGAGCUCGCUUAUAUCCGAAACUUAUCCGUUUUUGGAAAUCUUUAUAUCGUUGGAAAGCUUAUUCAAUAACCUUCGUAUGGAACCAUCGACGGGAAAAUUCCGAUAUAAAUAAAGUCGAUUCCUAUACACCUAUAAUCAAACUAUACACUUGAAACCAUCUCAAAAUAAUCAAUACUCAUACUUAAACUCAUAUAUACCUAACUUAGGAUCAAUACAUAUACCCCAACACAUAUAACAAUGACUAAUGCACGUAAUUAAGUACGGGGUGUUACAUCCUUCCCCCCUUAAGGACAUUCGUCCUCGAAUGUGAAUGUAGUUAUUUAGCCGAAACAAGUUCAAGUCCACCAUUAACAUUCACAUCAUCACAUAAAUACUAUGCAUAUAUAAACAAAAACUUACUUGUUAAUGUUCUAACUCCGUUUCUUGAACUUCCUCUUCAUCUUUGAACAAAUGAGGGUACUUAGAUUUCAUUGCUUCCUCAGCUUCCCAUGUAAUCUCUUCCCUUUGUUGAUUUCUCCAAAGUACCUUUACUGAUGCCAUUUCUUUGUUCCUUAACUUUUUAACUUGGCGAUCUAGAAUAGCAACCGGUACCUCUUCAUAAGUAAGAUCCUCUGUGACCUGUACAUCUUCUAUAGGAGUGAUACGAGAGGGGUCACCUAUGCAUUUUCGAAGCAUUGACACAUGAAACACUGGAUGAACCAUUGAAAGUUCCUGGGGUAGCUCUAAUUCAUAUGCAACUUGUCCGACCCUCUUGGUAAUCUUAUAUGGCCCUAUGUAACGUGGGCUUAGUUUCCCUUUUUUACCAAAUCUCAUAACCCCUUUCAUUGGUGAUACCUUUAAAAAUACCCAAUCUCCAAUAGAGAAUUCCAGCCCUCUUCUCCGAAUAUCUGCAUAUGAUUUAUGACGACUUUGGGCUGUUUUUAGCCGUUGUUGUAUCACCUUGACUUUUUCUAUGGCUUGAUACACAAGAUCCGGUCCGAACAUAAGAGUUUCACCCGCUUCGAACCAUCCUAUUGGUGAUCUACACUUUCUCCCAUAUAAAGCUUCAUAUGGUGCCAUUUUGAUACUUGAAUGAUAGCUAUUAUUGUAGGCAAACUCAAUAAGAGGUAAAUGAUCAUCCCAGCUGCCUUUAAAAUCUAUAACACAUGCUCGUAGCAUAUCUUCAAGUGUUUGAAUGGUGCGCUCUGCUUGUCCAUCCGUCUGAGGGUGAAAAGCUGUACUCAGAUUCACUUGUGUUCCCAAACCCCGUUGGAAAGACUUCCAAAAGUUUGCAGUAAAUUGAGUUCCCCGAUCCGAUAUAAUAGAAGUUGGCACUCCAUGUAAUCGGACUAUUUCUUUAACAUACAGCUUCGAAUAUUCUUCAACUGUGUAAGUGGUCUUAACGGGUAAGAAAUGUGCGGAUUUAGUAAGCCUAUCCACAAUCACCCAUAUAGAAUCAAAUUUUCGAGCUGUACGAGGCAAACCUGUAACAAAAUCCAUGUUGAUCAUGUCCCACUUCCAAAUUGGAAGAUCUAUGCAUUGCAUAUAGCCUCCGGGUUUUUGGUGCUCAACUUUAACUCUUUGACAAUUUGGACAUUCAGCUACAAAUUCUGCAAUGCUCUUCUUCAUGUCAUUCCACCAAUACAUAUCUUUCAAAUCUUGAUACAUUUUGGUUGAUCCUGGAUGAAUGGAAUACCUUGAAAAAUGUGCCUCUGUCAUAAUCUUCUUUCUUAGCCCGUCUAUAUCCGGCACACACAAUCGGUUUUGGCACUGAAGUACUCCUUCUCGCGUAAGCUCAAAUGCCUUGGUCGCACCACUCUGAACGUUCUCCUUAAGAUGUAAUAAAAUAGGAUCUGCAUAUUGCUUCUCUUUCACUUCAGCUACUAAUGAAGAUUCCGCAGCAUUAUGUACGAUAAGCUCUUUAUUCGGAGUUUCAAGAAGGCGAACUCCCAAACUAGCUAACUGGUGAAGAUCUUUAACCAUCCCUUGCCUUUCUAUAGGCGCCAUCAUAGCCUUACGACUUAACGCAUCAGCUACCACAUUUGCUUUCCCUGGAUGGUACAAGAUAUCAACAUCAUAGUCCUUUAAUAGUUCAAGCCAUCUCCGCUGCCUUAAAUUUAGAUCCUUCUGAUUAAAAAUAUAUUGCAAGCUCUUAUGGUCAGUAUAUAUAUCAACGUGAACCCCAUAUAAGUAGUGGCGCCAUAUCUUUAAAGCAAAAAUAACCGCUGCCAGCUCAAGAUCGUGUGUAGGAUAAUUUUUCUCAUGUGGCCGUAAUUGUCUAGAAGCAUAUGCUAUUACCUUACCAUGCUGCAUCAAUACACAUCCUAAACCAAUUCUGGAAGCAUCACAAUACACUGUAUACCCUUCGGUGCCUUCUGGUAGUACCAACACGGGUGUAGAAAUCAACUUGUUCUUUAAAUCUUGAAAACUCUUCUCACAGGCAUCAUUCCAUUGGAAUUUGGAUGCUUUAUGGGUUAGCUUGGUUAAGGGUGCUGAAAUGGAAGAAAAGUCUUUGACAAACCUUCUAUAAUAACCGGCCAACCCAAGAAAACUACGAAUCUCCGUAGGCGUUGUGGGCCUUGGCCAGUUCUUCACAGCCUCUAUCUUUUGAGCAUCAACCUUUAUCCCUUCACUAGAUACAAUAUGACCCAAAAAUGCCACCGACUUUAACCAAAACUCACAUUUAGAGAACUUUGCAUAAAGCUUACAAUCACGAAGAGUCUGCAAUGCCUGUCGUAAGUGAUUGGCAUGGUCCUCUUCUGAUCUAGAAUAAACUAGAAUAUCAUCUAUAAAAACUAUCACAAAUACAUCCAGGAAUGGCUUAAAAACCCUAUUCAUCAAGUCCAUAAAAGCUGCGGGUGCAUUUGUUAGCCCAAAUGACAUAACUAGAAACUCAUAAUGACCAUACCUUGUUCGAAAAGCUGUUUUGGGUAUAUCUUUGGUAACGUAGAACAAUACAUGUUAAUGGACAAUCUCGGAAUCUUACUUGAUGGAACAUUGGGUGUUUUCAUGCCAAAGAACAUUGUUAGAGUAUGCUUUACAUACCUCGUUGUAGAUUCGGAUACCAAUUCAACACAACUUCCCGCCUUUACAAUUCACUUAUCUACAAUGAAAUGUUUGGCAUCUAGUAUUAGCAACCCAACACCACAAUUCUCUUCCAUAAUUCCAUACUACCAAUAUUUGCAAAACAUUCCAAAAACCAACUUGAACAAUAGGUUUAUGUGUGUAUAUAUAUAUAAUCAUCAUUUCAAUACCACAUCAUCAAUACCACAUCAUCACCCCAAAUUCCUUCACAAUUUAACAUAAUCCAACCAUGCACAAGAAUAAUCCAACAUCAUUUCCAAUCAUCUUUCAACAACAAUCAAAUAACAUACUUCUUAUGCUCACAUGCAUAUAUAUAUAUACAUAUCCAUAUAAAUAACACCAACAUAAUUUACAUCCUUACCAAAAAAAAUGGCCCUUUUGAUUUCGAAGUCCUGUUGGCACAAAUAAGGGGUGCUUCUCGAAGCCCUUGAGACGGUGAACACAACUACGGAAUCAAUUUGGAUUUUCUACGGUUGAAUCACAAGAUAAUUGGAGUUGAACUUAGGCUAGGGUUUCUUAUUCUUCAAUGAUUUGGAUGAUAAAUGGUGGAUAUAAGGCUAAGUAUAUGUAUAUAAUGACCAAUUUUCGUCCAUGAGGUGAUGGAAAAUGACCAUAUUGCCCUUAAAAAUUUAAGUAAAUCCGAAUCUGUCCAUGGUGGACUGUUUUGAUAGGCUAAAGUAAAUCGGCCAUAACUCUUUGCUCCGAUAUCGGAUUUGGGUGAAAUUGGUAUCGUUAGAAAGAUAAUUCAAAGGUAUUUCAUUUAAUAUAAAUUAAUCCACCCAGUUCGUCCUGUACAAGUAGUUAUGAUCGUUUGAAGUUGACCCUAAAAAUCUGUUUUGAGAGGCUGAAGUAAAACGAGUAUAACUCCUUACUCAGAUGUUGGAUUUGGAUGAAACCAAUUUCAUUGGAAAGAAGACUCAAAGAUCUUUCUUUUGAUAUAUGGUAGCUCAACCAGUUCAUUAUAUUGAGGGAGUUAUGAUCGUUCAAAGUUGACCCAAAAAACUGGCAGGCCUCAGUAGUUUCCUGCACAUUUUACUGUUCACAUCCCGGCCACCGUUUUAAAGUUUCGAACGAGCUCGCUUAUAUCGUGGACUGUUUUGACAAGCUAAAGUAGAUCGACCAUAACUCUUUGAUCCGAUAUUGGAUUUGGGUGAAAUUAGUAUCUUUGGAAAGAUAAUUCAAAGGGCUUUCAUUUCAUAUAAAGUAGACCACCCAGUUCGUCCUGUACAAGGAGUUAUGAUCAUUUGAAGUUGACCCUAAAAAUCUGUUUUGAGAGGCUGAAGUAAAACGAGUAUAACUCCUUAUUAAGAUGUUGGAUUUGGAUGAAACCAAUUGCAUUGGAAAGAAUACUCAAAGAUCUUUCUUUUUAUAGGUGGUAGCUCUCCCAGUUCAUUAUAUUGAGGGAUUUAUGAUCGUUCAAAGUUGACCCAAAAAACUGGCAGGCCUCAGUAGUUUGUGUGCAGGAAAUUUUCCUGCACAUUUACUGUUCACAACAUCCCGACCACCGUUUUUGGAAAUCUUUAUAUCGUUGGAAAGCUUAUUCAAUAACCUUCGUAUGGAACCAUCAACGGUCAAAUUCCGGAAUAAAUAAAAUAAAAAAUUAAUUCCAUAUAAAUAAGACCAAUACACGUACUUGAAUACGCCAAUACAUGUACUUGAAUACGGGGUGUUACAUAUGUAUAUCUUUAAAUAUUGUUAAAACAUUAAAAUUAUGACUGUGAGAGUUAGGAUAGUCCUACAUACCUUUUUGAUGAACAAAAUUUGAGAUAUCUUGAAUCCAAGCCUUAGAAGUAUGAGUCUUUUGAGGAAACCCUAAUUUUUUCUCUCUUGAGAGAGGAGAGGAGAAAAAGCGAUGAUAAACUGAUGUUCUAUUAGUAAAUAGGGUUUAAAUUGUGAUUUAAGUUGUAGGGGAGGAGUUUGUGGUAGGGAAAAGACCCAAAUACCCCCUUGAAAAUGUUAUAACAGUGCAAAACGGUCCCUACUGAUGGUUUGAGCGAUGGACCGUCGCUCUCGUGGCUGACCAUCACUCUAACCAUUUCAAAAUUACAAAUUUUUGGUCUUUAUACUAAUGGCAACAGUCUGGUGCGACGGGCUGUUACCCUGUCUGUCUCACCUUGGCAGACAGACAUCUUUUGGUAAAUUGCACAUAAUGUUUCACUCUUAAAUCGGAUUAAGGCAAAACUGGUGGCGUUGGAAAGAAGACUCGAUGAACUUUUAUUUGGUAUAUUGUAGGACAUCUAACACUUUAUAGUCUAGGAUUAAUAGUCAUUCAAAGUUGACUCAAGUUGGAAUGUUCACUAAAAUUCAAUCGUUAGAAAAGUUCUCAACUUAAUUUUGAGUUUGGAGAUUUUUAUGAUCUCAAUUAAUUUCCAAAGAUAACCUCACAUUGAAGAAUUGAUUAUCACACUUAUAUUGACACAAAAUCAUUAGGUUUGAGCUAUAUAUGCAGGAAAGACGGUUCAAAUUCUAGCUCGAAAAUGUGGGGUGUUACAACAUCUUCUCACAUACUAUACUAGCUUACAACUACUAGAGAAAAAAAGAUAAUGGGGGGGGGGGGGGGGAUCUUAAUCUUAUAAUAUAACCCACUAUGGUCUAUUAGCAUAUUUUACUUCCUCAUAUAAUAUCUACUUACCCAUGCAUACAUUUAAACUAAUUUCAAAAUUCUUUAAAUAUCACUAAGUCCCUCCUUCUAAGAUUUCCCCAAAUUGCAGUAAAUUCUUAAAUUAUUAGUCACUCUAUCCUUCUAUUCACAACCUAUAAUGAUUUUACAACCAUCAUAACUAUCCAUCCUGAGCUCCCUCCCUAUCUUAUAUAAAUUUAAAUCAUCAUAACUAAUCACUUUCUCUACUAACUAUCAUAAAAUCUAAAAAUCUUUCUAUGACUUUAUCCUUUCACUGUAAAAGGGCAUACGACCCGUCACUCAAAGAUUAUAAGACAACUACUACCCUUUUUACUCAAAAGAUACUUUCACUCUAACUUCCACGCUUAUGACUUAAUAACACUAACUUUGGGAUCAUCUUACUACUCAUAGUUUAUAAAACCUUAACUUAUACUACCUCUCCGGUAGAAAUACUAUAUCAACAUUCAGUUAUAUCUUUAACCUUAUGCGUGACAUCCACAACAAAGAUUUUGAAAGGGACGGAAUACACUUCUUGACUCUUGCUCAAAUGGACUCCUCUCAAGUUCUUAUUUUGUUUUAUGACUUUUUGAUGGCUCAAUCAGAAAAUGAAAGGACCAUCUCAUUAGGAAUCUAAGUUUUUGCACUUGUAUUUCCUCAAUAAUGAGACAUAGUGAAUAAAAUUAGAGCAAGGAAGGAAUUUGGAUAAUUUUUAUGUGGACAACACUAUUGGACGAUCUGGAUCAUGAAAAAAUGGGAAACAACUCCUAAAUGCCUGGUAGUCUUCUGAUUAUAAAUGUGGUGCACAACACACCCAUAAGAAUGAAUCUACUAGACACAACUUUGUACACAUUCUAGAACCCUAAACCUAGCCCUGAUACCAAGAUUGUCACCACCCGAGCUGAGGACUUAGCCAUUAUGGGUAUCCCAAACCAAAUAGGCCAGAGAGACCCCUUAACAUGCUAUCAUAAGCAUAAUUCAUACAAAAUAAGGAAGAUAUAAUAAAAUUUAAGAAAUAUUUUAAGCAAGGUCUGUCAAUAAAGUCAUAACAAAACAAUAACCAAAUCUAGUCUACGAAGCCUCUACUGAAGAAUAACUAUCUAGGCCGGAAAAAGGCACCCGACCGGAUCAUAAACUAAAAUAAAUGAACAUAUAAAUAAAAUGCCUUUUGAAAGAUGGAUGACCCACCAGCUCUGAUGUUUAUGAACAUUUUUCUAUUGUGACGGACCACAGGACUAAGCCUCAGACCCUACAUUAAGAGACAAUAUAGAUGUCCGAGGACGGUCGAUACUUGAAAUGUAUUAUAUGCAGAACAAUCCAAAAGAACAUAUAUUUCAUAUAAAAUAAUCAAGAACAUUGUGAAAAUAAUUUAACAUAAUAGAUAUCAAAGAAUAAUAAAAAAAAUUCAAUCAAUCUCGUAAAAUAAUGACUCAGUCUUUUCUUUAGUUCUGAGCUAGAUGGCAUACCCAACAUGGUUUGAAAAAUCCUAUUGUCUAUAUUGGGUCUGACAUUGAUCCGGUGGUCAAGUCCCCAAUUCGAGUUUGCUGCAAGGAUUAGAGCAUAUGACCCGGUAUACCAAAGCAUAAAGCAAGUAUACAAUGUUCAUCCAUAUUUUAGGACAGGAUUAAUCCUGUAUCAUAAAAUACAGUUUUGGGAUGUGAGUUAUGUGAGCUCGUUCCUUCUUGGUUAACCACUUAACUCUCUUUAAGCCCAUAUUUUAGCACUUAAAACGUGGUCUGUAGUCUAAAAUGUCAUUCAUCUGAUUUGGUUUCGUCAUACCAAGACUUGAAAGUCCUAUAAUCCAUAUCAUAUCAUGUCCAUAGUCCUUUUAAAAAGCAUGUUAUUUGACCACCAAAAUGAUUCAAAUAUCACAUGAGAGUUCUCUUUCAAAACUGUUAUGAAAGCUUAAGUAAAACAUCUUUCUUUCAAAACUUAACUCUUAAGGUGGUCAUCUCUUUCAUAAUCACAUAUAAUCUCCAUGAGAAACAAGAGAAUUUAGAAAUAAGAAACACCCCUUUGAAAACAUGUAAAAUGGCAAUGCAUAAUUGAUAAAGAUGCAUGUAAAAUUUAAGCUUAUCAUCAUUCAUUAACCAACCCCCAAAUACAUAAAUUUCAUGCUCGAAAAAGGGAAUUUAUAGUUCAUGCUCUCAAAUCCACUUCAAAAUUCAUACAUGCAUAUAAAUACAAUUUAAAGUUUAUGGAAAACCCCAUAGUUAAUACAUAAUUUCAUCAUAAAAAGGGAUCUCGUAAUUCAUGCUUUUCAAUCAAUUUAAAAAUCUUAGCUUAUAAAUAUACAAUAUAGGAUUUAUUCAAAACAUCAUACUUACACCCAUGAGUGUUAGGAUAGUUCUACAUACCUUUUGAUGGAGGAAAAUUGAAUAAGAAUCUUGAGUUUGGAAACCUACGAGCUUUGAAAUUAAGAAAUCCUUAUUGAUAUCCUUGGGAGGGAGAUUAAGGAAUUUAGGAGAUUUCUACUAGCUUAGGACGACUAUAGGAUUAUAAAAUGAAUUGGGGGAGUUAUGGGGGUGAAAGGAUCAUUUUCCCUAGAUUUAAUGAGGGGAAAAUGUAUUUUUAUGUCCGGGAAGGGGGGUUGCAUCGCGGGCCAAACUGCACGGCUCCAGCCGUGCCCCUCGCCUAAUCACGUGGCAUAAACAUUGCCUCGUGCAACCAUCGCGCACCCUGGAUAGUAUCUCAUCAAACUGCCUAUAACUUCUUAAUCUGAAGUCGGAUUGACGACGGUCAGUUGUGUUAGAAAGAAGACCCGAAGAAUUUAAUUUGAUAUAUAGUAGGCCACAUAACUUGAUAUAUAGGAGUAAUGGUCUUUAGAAGUUUUCCCAAGUUAGAAAGUCUACUAAACACAAUCGGUAGAAAAGUUCUUAACUCAACUUUGAGUUAGGAGAUUUUUAUGACUUAUAUUCAUCUCUAAAGAUGUUCCCAUACUAAAAAAUUGAUAAAGAAUUAUUCACACUUUU
RNAcentral lists this long non-coding RNA (11094 nucleotides) under Capsicum annuum. RNAcentral's name for it is "long non-coding RNA (CANN_LNC002298)". Lineage: Eukaryota; Viridiplantae; Streptophyta; Magnoliopsida; Solanales; Solanaceae. The record is from RNAcentral.